Molecule: long non-coding RNA, 211 nt
Filed under: Setaria italica (foxtail millet)
Lineage: Eukaryota; Viridiplantae; Streptophyta; Magnoliopsida; Poales; Poaceae
Description: long non-coding RNA (SITA_LNC002343)
Source: RNAcentral
GCGAACGAGAAGUCGACAGCUACAACCAUUUUCCUGCUUUCACAAACCGGGUAAUGAAAACAAAAUUACCCGAAAAGUUCAAACCAACCGGCAUUACCAAGUACGACGGCAAGCAAGACCCAGUUCAAUGGCUACGUUGUUACUCGCUAGCCGUCCAAGCAGCCGGGGGUAACAACGACACAAGUCAUUCAUUUCCCCAUAUGCAUGGAAC